RNAcentral lists this ribosomal RNA (468 nucleotides) under uncultured bacterium. RNAcentral's name for it is "partial 16S ribosomal RNA". It matches the Rfam family "Bacterial small subunit ribosomal RNA", at positions 28 to 507 of the family's 1533-position model. The record is from RNAcentral.
GACGAACGCUGGCGGCAUGCUUAACACAUGCAAGUCGUACGGAAAACCCCUGCUAUUGUGGUGUGCGCGAGUGGCGGACGAGUGAGUAACAAGUGCCUACCCUGCGCUGGACUAUGAGAUAACGUCAGGGAACUGGGUAUAAUACCGGAUAGGAACUCCUACUGGAUGGCGGGGCGUGGAAAGUUUCGGCGGUUGUGGAUUGGCUCGUGGCUUAUCAGCUUACUGUUGGGGUAGUCGCUUGCCGAGGCGUUGACGGGUAGCAGGCCUGUGAGGGUGACCGGCCACAUUGGGACUGAGAUACGGCCGAGCCUCCUACGGGAGGCAGCAGUGGGGAGUAUUGCACAAUGGGCGGAAGCCUGAUGCAGCAACGACGCGUGCGGGAUGACGGCCUUCGGGUUGUAAACCGCUUUCGCCUGUGACGAAGCGUGAGUGACGGUAAUGGGUAAAGAAGCACCGGCUAACUACGUG